GAAAGGGUGACCUGGCUGUAAGUUCCAUCACCCCACUGACUGCCAGAGUUGAUCUGGUUGAUGCACCUAGGUAGAUGGAGUCCCCUUUCCUCUUCUGCAUCAUGAGUGUCCCUUCUGAAGCUGUAACUCAGAUGAAGAGAGCAGUUUUCUCUGGUAAGAAAGACCAUUCUUGCUGCACA
RNAcentral lists this small nuclear RNA (179 nucleotides) under Cricetulus griseus (Chinese hamster). RNAcentral describes it as "7SK RNA". It matches the Rfam family "7SK RNA". From Rfam's summary of the family: 7SK was discovered as an abundant small nuclear RNA in the mid-70s but a possible function has only recently been suggested. Two independent studies have found that 7SK RNA binds the CDK9/cyclin T complex (known as elongation factor P-TEFb). P-TEFb activates transcription by phosphorylating the C-terminal domain of RNA polymerase II. The record is from Rfam by way of RNAcentral. Lineage: Eukaryota; Metazoa; Chordata; Mammalia; Rodentia; Cricetidae.